GAUGAACGCUAGCGGGAGGCCUAACACAUGCAAGCCGAGCGGUAUUGUUUCUUCGGAAAUGAGAGAGCGGCGUACGGGUGCGUAACACGUGUGCAACCUGCCUUUAUCUGGGGGAUAGCCUUUCGAAAGGAAGAUUAAUACUCCAUAAUAUAUUGAACGGCAUCGUUUAAUAUUGAAAGCUCCGGCGGAUAGAGAUGGGCACGCGCAAGAUUAGCUAGUUGGUGAGGUAACGGCUCACCAAGGCGAUGAUCUUUAGGGGGGCCUGAGAGGGUGAUCCCCCACACUGGUACUGAGACACGGACCAGACUCCUACGGGAGGCAGCAAUGAGGAAUAUUGGUCAAUGGGUGCAAGCCUGAACCAGCCAUCCCGUGUGAAGGACGACUGCCCUAUGGGUUGUAAACUUCUUUUGUAUAGGGAUAAACCUACCCUCGAGAGGGUAGCUGAAGGUACUAUACGAAUAAGCACCGGCUAACUCCGUG
This 480-nucleotide ribosomal RNA is filed under the name uncultured bacterium. Its description in RNAcentral is "partial 16S ribosomal RNA". It matches the Rfam family "Bacterial small subunit ribosomal RNA", at positions 28 to 507 of the family's 1533-position model. The record is from RNAcentral.